This 118-nucleotide ribosomal RNA is filed under the name Pteropus alecto (black flying fox). The record is from RNAcentral. Lineage: Eukaryota; Metazoa; Chordata; Mammalia; Chiroptera; Pteropodidae.
GUCUACUGCCAUGUCACCCUGAACGUACUUAAUCCCAUCUGAUAUCAGAAGCUAAGCAGGGUCGGGCCUGGUUAGUACUUGAAUGGGAGACACCUAUGAAUACUAGGUGCUAUAGGCG